ACAAUGAAACGAAGAGAAAGCGUGAAGCGAAUAAAAGCAAAGGAAAACCAAAGCACACAACUCAGACACUUCACCCAGUUCCUUUCGCUUUGUCUUUCUUCUUAUUUGGCUUAAUUCGUGCGGUCUUU
This 128-nucleotide non-coding RNA is filed under the name Symbiodinium sp. CCMP2430. Lineage: Eukaryota; Dinophyceae; Suessiales; Symbiodiniaceae. The record is from RNAcentral.